UACGAAGGGGGCUAGCGUUGUUCGGAAUUACUGGGCGUAAAGCGCACGCAGGCGGAUUUAUAAGUCAGGGGUGAAAUCCCGGGGCUCAACCUCGGAAUUGCCUUUGAUACUGUCUAUCUUGCGUCCGGGAGAGGUGAGUGGAAUUCCUAGUGUAGAGGUGAAAUUCGUAGAUAUUAGGAAGAACACCAGUGGCGACGGCGGCUCACUGGCCCGGUACUGCCGCUCAUGUGCGAAAGCGUGGGGAGCAAACAGG
This 253-nucleotide ribosomal RNA is filed under the name uncultured bacterium. RNAcentral's name for it is "partial 16S ribosomal RNA". It matches the Rfam family "Bacterial small subunit ribosomal RNA", at positions 524 to 776 of the family's 1533-position model. The record is from RNAcentral.